GUGCCAGCCGCCGCGGUAAUACGGAGGGUGCAAGCGUUAAUCGGAAUUACUGGGCGUAAAGGGCGCGCAGGCGGUCUUUUAAGUCUGAUGUGAAAUCCCGCGGCUUAACCGCGGGCGGUCAUUGGAAACUGGAGGACUUGAGUGCAGAAGAGGAGAGUGGAAUUCCACGUGUAGCGGUGAAAUGCGUAGAGAUGUGGAGGAACACCAGUGGCGAAGGCGACUCUCUGGUCUGCUACUGACGCUGAGGUGCGAAAGCGUGGGUAGCAAACAGGAUUAGAAACCCGCGUAGUCC
Molecule: ribosomal RNA, 292 nt
Filed under: uncultured prokaryote
Description: partial 16S ribosomal RNA
Rfam family: Bacterial small subunit ribosomal RNA
Source: RNAcentral